GGGUUGGACGGUCAGUCAUGUUCUUGUUUGAUUGUUGGCCGGUGGGUCGACCUAUACUUAGGACGGUUCGGGGGUGUUACAGACAGGCCCGGGUAAUCUUUGAAAUUUCAUCGUGAUGGGGAUAGAUCAUUGCAAUUGUUGGUCUUCAACGAGGAAUUCCUAGUAAGCGCGAGUCAUCAGCUCGCGUUGACUAC
This 194-nucleotide non-coding RNA is filed under the name Brassica napus (rape). RNAcentral describes it as "Eukaryotic small subunit ribosomal RNA". It matches the Rfam family "Eukaryotic small subunit ribosomal RNA", at positions 1517 to 1648 of the family's 1831-position model. The record is from Rfam by way of RNAcentral. Lineage: Eukaryota; Viridiplantae; Streptophyta; Magnoliopsida; Brassicales; Brassicaceae.